Molecule: unclassified non-coding RNA, 274 nt
Filed under: fungal sp.
Lineage: Eukaryota; Fungi
Description: partial internal transcribed spacer region
Rfam family: Eukaryotic small subunit ribosomal RNA (bases 1-46)
Source: RNAcentral
AAGUCGUAACAAGGUAACCGUAGGUGAACCUGCGGUUGGAUCAUUAAAAAAUACCUAGAGCAGUCUUGUGGGCCUCUAACGAAGCUCGCAGUCUGUUUCUUAACAACUUGUGAAUUGUUUAUUGUCUCUUGUGGAAUUGCAGCUUGUCACUCUUUCGAGGGUGUCGCUUGCAGUCUCCACACGUGAAUUUCAACCUUGUAAUAAUUAUAUUUGCCUUAAAACUUAAACCUAAAAAAUUUAAAAACAACUUUUGACAACGGAUCUCUAGGCUCUC